UAAUUAAUGUGAUAGAUACUUCACAUCUAUCCAUUGUACAGAUACAGUCUCCAUAGGCUACGCCGCAGAGAUAAAAAUGAAAGGCUUAAACUGAAGUGACUUAGCCAAGUACUAAAAAAACACAAAACAAACCAACACCCUAGAGGAAGUCGCUCCCUCUCUGUUACCAAACUACAAGAGGUGAGGUAAGGCAAAGUCAAAAGCAUUAAAUAGAUAAAGUAGGUGAGAGAAAUUCAUAAGCUAGGCUAACCAGUUUGAACCACACAUAUUUGAACAAGAUGCUAAACCAUUCUUUUAAAAGAAGGAAGUAACGAUUAAGGUUUAAAGCCAAAACAAAAAUACAAUAAAAACAAGAGACACAAAACAUUAACAGGAGUAACUGCAGAUCAUUUCAUUACAGCUGGUGAUGCUAAAGUGAGGUGCAUUUAUUCUUGCAGUAUGGAAAGAACUGCAGGCAAAAAAAGUAAUACAAAUACAAAAGAAAAUAAACAGAAAAUACACAGAAAAUACACAGCAAUAAGGAAACUGAUGCCUUUAACACUUUGCUUUGGGGAUUGUUAUUACAGAUACAUUUACAACAUAUGGUCCAUUAUUGUCAGGUUAAAAAUCAAGCUUUGUUCAGAAACUUCCUUCAGUUUCAUCUCUGAUCCUGCUUUACUCUCCAGCACUAAACAAACUACCAUUGGUCUAAUAUAGUAGUUUCUCACUGCACUGAGUGUCAAAAUCAGAAAGUAUUCCUAGGUAUUACUUACUGUCACUUGGCUCAUGGUGGCUAUUUUGUCACCUCCUGGUCUUGGGUCCCACAGAGGAAUAAUGGCAGUAUAGAAGCUGUAGCUCUAUAAAAAGUGUCAUCUUAAUAUCAGAGGAGGAGCUAGCCAUAAGGGGUUGGCUUCACAGAUGUAAAUAUUUCAUAAUUUAUUUAGCAACGUGGCUUUUCUUUUUCCCCCAGGCAAAAACUUUAACAAAGGAAUAGGUCUGCUGCAACAAAGGAAAUAACAGCAAAAGCAGGGACAAGGACACAUCCUAACCCCACUAAUAUCAUCAGGAAUUUGCCUUCAUCUUCAGUGGGAACACAGCUUCAAAGACAUGGGAAUCACCCAUAAAACCUGAAGGAUCUUCUAAGCUUGAGAGACCAGUUUUCAAAAGCUCUCUAGCAAAGUUAUUAUGUUACAAGCAUUACUCCAUCAGAAGAAACUGUAAAAGGAUGAUCCAAAAUACUCAGGAUGUAUUUAAAACUCUUCUGGUUCAAUAAGAAAGCAGGACCUGAAGCCUAACUCUUUCCUGCCAAAGGACAAUUCUUUAGAAAAGGACAGUGAUCUCAGAAGCAGCACAACGAAUUCAGCAAAAUACCAGCCUGGAAACAGUAGGUGCUUCUUCAGUACUUUGCCAUCAGUAGCUAUUGGAUAAACUUCUCAGAAAGUGUAAUGUACCAAAUUAAAAUUUUGUUGUUCAUAGAAUUUCUAUUUGGGGAAGUAUUCCAAUUUUCUGCACUAGGCACUUGAAACUGCAGCAACCUCCAUUACAUUUUUUUCCCCAGCUAAUAUACAAUUAAUGCAUUAUGUAGUAGUUAUAAUCUACUAACUAACCAGAAGUGCUGACAGACUUGUAGUAAAUCAAACACCCAGUAUUAACCAGGCUGAUCUGGUUAUCAGAUUAAGAUAAUGGCCAGCUGUGCCAUCUUGAUAAAUCCUGUGGGAAGAAGUUAUUGUAAUGUCAGUUAUAACUACAUGGUUACU
Long non-coding RNA from Myiozetetes cayanensis, 1736 nucleotides. RefSeq lists it as uncharacterized. Lineage: Eukaryota; Metazoa; Chordata; Aves; Passeriformes; Tyrannidae. The transcript has 4 exons. The record is from RefSeq and is a predicted model, not a curated record.